GACCAGUGUCAUGACUGGUCACUGCGUAGUGAAUACAUAGCUGCGCAGAGGCAGACGUGGGGAACUGAAACAUCUAAGUACCCACAGGAAUAUAAAGAAAUUUCGAUUCCCAAAGUAGCGGCGAGCGAACUGGGAAUAGCCCAAACCGGACCUUUAUGGUCCGGGGUUGUAGGACUGAACAUUUGAGUUACAAAAGUAUUUGAUAAUUGAAGCAGCUGGGAAGCUGCACCAAAGAGAGUGAUAGUCUCGUAAAUGAAAUCGAAUACCCUCAGUUCAGGAUCCUGAGUACGGCGCCACACGUGUAACGGCGUCGGAAUCCGGGAGGACCAUCUCCCAAGGCUAAAUACUCCCUAGUGACCGAUAGUGAACC
This 370-nucleotide ribosomal RNA is filed under the name Fructilactobacillus lindneri. RNAcentral describes it as "bacterial LSU rRNA". It matches the Rfam family "Bacterial large subunit ribosomal RNA", at positions 130 to 496 of the family's 2925-position model. Lineage: Bacteria; Bacillati; Bacillota; Bacilli; Lactobacillales; Lactobacillaceae. The record is from RNAcentral.